GACGAACGCUGGCGGCGUGCUUAACACAUGCAAGUCGAACGGAAAGGCCCUGCUUGCAGGGUACUCGAGUGGCGAACGGGUGAGUAACACGUGGGUGAUCUGCCCUGCACUUCGGGAUAAGCCUGGGAAACUGGGUCUAAUACCGGAUAGGAGCCAUUUUUAGUGCGAUGGUUGGAAAGUUUUUUCGGUGUAGGAUGAGCUCGCGGCCUAUCAGCUUGUUGGUGGGGUAAUGGCCUACCAAGGCGGCGACGGGUAGCCGGCCUGAGAGGGUGGACGGCCACAUUGGGACUGAGAUACGGCCCAGACUCCUACGGGAGGCAGCAGUGGGGAAUAUUGCACAAUGGGCGCAAGCCUGAUGCAGCGACGCCGCGUGGGGGAUGACGGCCUUCGGGUUGUAAACUCCUUUCGCUAGGGACGAAGCUUUUUGUGACGGUACCUAGAUAAGAAGCACCGGCUAACUACGUG
RNAcentral lists this ribosomal RNA (465 nucleotides) under uncultured bacterium. Its description in RNAcentral is "partial 16S ribosomal RNA". It matches the Rfam family "Bacterial small subunit ribosomal RNA", at positions 28 to 507 of the family's 1533-position model. The record is from RNAcentral.